AGUGAACGCUGGCGGUAGGCCUAACACAUGCAAGUCGAACGGCAGCACAGUAAGAGCUUGCUCUUACGGGUGGCGAGUGGCGGACGGGUGAGGAAUACAUCGGAAUCUACUUUUUCGUGGGGGAUAACGUAGGGAAACUUACGCUAAUACCGCAUACGACCUACGGGUGAAAGCAGGGGAUCUUCGGACCUUGCGCGAUUGAAUGAGCCGAUGUCGGAUUAGCUAGUUGGCGGGGUAAAGGCCCAUCAAGGCGACGAUCCGUAGCUGGUCUGAGAGGAUGAGCAGCCACACUGGAACUGAGACACGGUCCAGACUCCUACGGGAGGCAGCAGUGGGGAAUAUUGGACAAUGGGCGCAAGCCUGAUCCAGCCAUACCGCGUGGGUGAAGAAGGCCUUCGGGUUGUAAAGCCCUUUUGUUGGGAAAGAAAAGCAGCAGGUUAAUACCCCGCUGUUCUGACGGUACCCAAAGAAUAAGCACCGGCUAACUUCGUG
Molecule: ribosomal RNA, 492 nt
Filed under: uncultured bacterium
Lineage: Bacteria
Description: partial 16S ribosomal RNA
Rfam family: Bacterial small subunit ribosomal RNA
Source: RNAcentral